This 226-nucleotide long non-coding RNA is filed under the name Setaria italica (foxtail millet). RNAcentral describes it as "long non-coding RNA (SITA_LNC003528)". Lineage: Eukaryota; Viridiplantae; Streptophyta; Magnoliopsida; Poales; Poaceae. The record is from RNAcentral.
UGAAAUCAAUGCUGAGGGCAAUCUUACCGGGUUGGACGGUUGCCUCUUCAACGAGAAAGAUUUGGGGACAUCCCUGUUAUUAAUCCGACCCUUGAAGAACUCGACCACCCUGUCGGCGACCACUAAGGUGCGGAUCUUGCGCUGGACCUCUCGAGUCGGAUAACCUAGCCCCGAGUACUCAUACAUUAGGUGCACUCGGUGCUUGAUCGGUUGCGUCAUCCCCUAA